This 429-nucleotide ribosomal RNA is filed under the name Acidobacteriota bacterium. Its description in RNAcentral is "Acidobacteria bacterium partial 16S ribosomal RNA". It matches the Rfam family "Bacterial small subunit ribosomal RNA", at positions 355 to 776 of the family's 1533-position model. The record is from RNAcentral. Lineage: Bacteria; Pseudomonadati; Acidobacteriota.
UGGGGAAUUUUGGACAAUGGGGGAAACCCUGAUCCAGCCAUCCCGCGUGUGCGAUGAAGGCCUUCGGGUUGUAAAGCACUUUUGGCAGGAAAGAAACGUCAUGGGUUAAUACCCCGUGAAACUGACGGUACCUGCAGAAUAAGCACCGGCUAACGACGUGCCAGCAGCCGCGGUAAUACGUAGGGUGCAAGCGUUAAUCGGAAUUACUGGGCGUAAAGCGUGCGCAGGCGGUUCGGAAAGAAAGAUGUGAAAUCCCAGAGCUCAACUUUGGAACUGCAUUUUUAACUACCGGGCUAGAGUGUGUCAGAGGGAGGUGGAAUUCCGCGUGUAGCAGUGAAAUGCGUAGAUAUGCGGAGGAACACCGAUGGCGAAGGCAGCCUCCUGGGAUAACGCUGACGCUCAUGCACGAAAGCGUGGGGAGCAAACAGG